RNAcentral lists this ribosomal RNA (465 nucleotides) under uncultured bacterium. RNAcentral's name for it is "partial 16S ribosomal RNA". It matches the Rfam family "Bacterial small subunit ribosomal RNA", at positions 28 to 507 of the family's 1533-position model. The record is from RNAcentral.
GACGAACGCUGGCGGCGUGCUUAACACAUGCAAGUCGAACGGAAAGGCCCUGCUUGCAGGGUACUCGAGUGGCGAACGGGUGAGUAACACGUGGGUGAUCUGCCCUGCACUUCGGGAUAAGCCUGGGAAACUGGGUCUAAUACCGGAUAGGAGCCAUUUUUAGUGUGAGGGUUGGAAAGUUUUUUCGGUGUAGGAUGAGCUCGCGGCCUUUCAGCUUGUUGGUGGGGUAAGGGCCUACCAAGGCGGCGACGGGUAGCCGGCCUGGGAGGGUGGGCGGCCAACUUGGGGCCGGGGUACGGCCCAGACUCCUACGGGGGGCAACAGUGGGGAAUAUUUCCCCAUGGGCGGGAGCCUGAUUCAGCGACGCCGCGUGGGGGAUGACCGCCUUCCGGUUGUAAACUCCUUUCGCUAGGGACGAAGCUUUUUGUGACGGUACCUAGAUAAGAAGCACCGGCUAACUACGUG